CGCGUGGGGAUUUGCCUUCUGGUACGGGAUAACGUUUGGAAACGAACGCUAAUACCGUAUGAUAUCUACGGAUUAAAGAUUUAUCGCCAGGAGAUGAACCCGCGUAGGAUUAGAUAGUUGGUGGGGUAAUGGCCUACCAAGUCGACGAUCUUUAGCUGUUCUGAGAGGAAGAUCAGCCACACUGGAACUGAGACACGGUCCAGACUCCUACGGGAGGCAGCAGUGGGGAAUAUUGGACAAUGGGGGCAACCCUGAUCCAGCCAUGCCGCGUGAGUGAAGAAGGCCUUAGGGUUGUAAAGC
RNAcentral lists this ribosomal RNA (300 nucleotides) under uncultured Alphaproteobacteria bacterium. Its description in RNAcentral is "bacterial SSU rRNA". It matches the Rfam family "Bacterial small subunit ribosomal RNA", at positions 114 to 431 of the family's 1533-position model. Lineage: Bacteria; Pseudomonadati; Pseudomonadota; Alphaproteobacteria. The record is from RNAcentral.